AGUGAACGCUGGCGGUAGGCCUAACACAUGCGAGUCGAACGGCAGCACAGUAAGAGCUUGCUCUUACGGGUGGCGAGUGGCGGACGGGUGAGGAAUACAUCGGAAUCUACUUUUUCGUGGGGGAUAACAUAGGGAAACUUACGCUAAUACCGCAUACGACCUACGGGUGAAAGCAGGGGAUCUUCGGACCUUGCGCGAUUGAAUGAGCCGAUGUCGGAUUAGCUAGUUGGCGGGGUAAAGGCCCACCAAGGCGACGAUCCGUAGCUGGUCUGAGAGGAUGAUCAGCCACACUGGAACUGAGACCCGGUCCAGACUCCUACGGGAGGCAGCAGUGGGGAAUAUUGGACAAUGGGCGCAAGCCUGAUCCAGCCAUACCGCGUGGGUGAAGAAGGCCUUCGGGUUGUAAAGCCCUUUUGUUGGGAAAGAAAAGCAGCAGGUUAAUACCCCGCUGUUCUGACGGUACCCAAAGAAUAAGCACCGGCUAACUUCGUG
RNAcentral lists this ribosomal RNA (492 nucleotides) under uncultured bacterium. RNAcentral describes it as "partial 16S ribosomal RNA". It matches the Rfam family "Bacterial small subunit ribosomal RNA", at positions 29 to 507 of the family's 1533-position model. The record is from RNAcentral.